This 468-nucleotide ribosomal RNA is filed under the name uncultured bacterium. Its description in RNAcentral is "partial 16S ribosomal RNA". It matches the Rfam family "Bacterial small subunit ribosomal RNA", at positions 28 to 507 of the family's 1533-position model. The record is from RNAcentral.
GAUGAACGCUGGCGGCGUGCUUAACACAUGCAAGUCGAACGGAAAGGCCCUGCUUUUGUGGGGUGCUCGAGUGGCGAACGGGUGAGUAACACGUGAGUAACCUGCCCUUGACUUUGGGAUAACUUCAGGAAACUGGGGCUAAUACCGGAUAGGAGCUCCUGCUGCAUGGUGGGGGUUGGAAAGUUUCGGCGGUUGGGGAUGGACUCGCGGCUUGUCAGCUUGUUGGUGGGGUAGUGGCUUACCAAGGCUUUGACGGGUAGCCGGCCUGAGAGGGUGACCGGCCACAUUGGGACUGAGAUACGGCCCAGACUCCUACGGGAGGCAGCAGUGGGGAAUAUUGCACAAUGGGCGGAAGCCUGAUGCAGCAACGCCGCGUGCGGGAUGACGGCCUUCGGGUUGUAAACCGCUUUCGCCUGUGACGAAGCGUGAGUGACGGUAAUGGGUAAAGAAGCACCGGCUAACUACGUG